This 715-nucleotide ribosomal RNA is filed under the name Plectosphaerellaceae sp. Its description in RNAcentral is "SSU rRNA". It matches the Rfam family "Eukaryotic small subunit ribosomal RNA", at positions 850 to 1588 of the family's 1831-position model. The record is from RNAcentral. RNAcentral also lists the same sequence under 1 other name. Lineage: Eukaryota; Fungi; Ascomycota; Sordariomycetes; Glomerellales; Plectosphaerellaceae.
UCUAGGACCGCCGUAAUGAUUAAUAGGGACAGUCGGGGGCAUCAGUAUUCAAUCGUCNGAGGUGAAAUUCUUGGAUCGAUUGAAGACUAACUACUGCGAAAGCAUUUGCCAAGGAUGUUUUCAUUUAUCAGGAACGAAAGUUAGGGGAUCGAAGACGAUCAGAUACCGUCGUAGUCUUAACCAUAAACUAUGCCGACUAGGGAUCGGACGGUGUUAUUUCUUGACCCGUUCGGCACCUUACGAGAAAUCAAAGUGCUUGGGCUCCAGGGGGAGUAUGGUCGCAAGGCUGAAACUUAAAGAAAUUGACGGAAGGGCACCACCAGGGGUGGAGCCUGCGGCUUAAUUUGACUCAACACGGGGAAACUCACCAGGUCCAGACACAACGAGGAUUGACAGAUUGAGAGCUCUUUCUUGAUUUUGUGGGUGGUGGUGCAUGGCCGUUCUUAGUUGGUGGAGUGAUUUGUCUGCUUAAUUGCGAUAACGAACGAGACCUUAACCUGCUAACUAGUCCGUAUUACCCCGGUAGUACUCCGACUUCUUANAGGGACUAUCGGCUCAAGCCGAUGGAAGUUUGAGGCAAUAACAGGUCUGUGANGCCCUUANAUGNUUCUGGGCCGCACGCGCGUUACACUGACGGGGCCAGCGAGUCCUUCCUUGACCGAAAGGNCCGGGUAANCUUGUGAAANCCCCGUCGUGCUGGGGAUAGAGCAUUGCA